Molecule: long non-coding RNA, 12811 nt
Filed under: Triticum aestivum (bread wheat)
Lineage: Eukaryota; Viridiplantae; Streptophyta; Magnoliopsida; Poales; Poaceae
Description: long non-coding RNA (TAES_LNC011495)
Source: RNAcentral
CAGAGUAGUAGGAAUCACCGUCAACGGUGGCGUCUGGCUCCAGGGCUCCAGCAUCUGGUUGCGACAACCAGGUAGAAGGGAAAGGGGGAAAAGAGGAUAAAAGCAACCGUGAGUACUCAUCCAAAGUACUCGCAAGCAAGGAGCUACACUACAUAUGCAUGGGUGUAUGUGUAAAGGGCCAUAUCGGUGGACUGAACUUCAGAAUGCCAGAAUAAGAGGGGGAUAGCUAAUCCUGUCGAAGGCUACGCUUCUGGCAGCCUCCAUCUUGCAGCAUGUAGAAGAGAAUAGACUGAAGUCCUCCAAGUAGCAUCGCAUAGCAUAAUCCUACCCGGCGAUCCUCCCCUCGUCGCCCUGUGGAAAAGCGAUCACCGGGUUGUCUGUGGAACUUGUCUGGGUGUGUUUUAUUAAGUAUCCAGUUCUAGUUGUCAUAAGGUCAAGGUACAACUCCGGGUCAUCCUUUUACCGAUGGACAUGGCUAUUCGAAUAGAUAAACUUCCCUGCAGGGGUGCACCACAUAACCCAACACACUCGAUCCCAUUUGGCUGGACACACUUUCCUGGGUCAUGCCCGGCCUCGAAAGAUCAACACGUCGUAGCCCCACCUAGGCACAACAGAGAGGUCAGCACGCCGGUCUAAAUCCUAUGCGCGCAGGGGUCUAGGCCCAUUGCCCAUUGCACACCUGCACAUUGCGUGGGCGGCCGGAAGCAUAACUAGCCCCCUUAAUACAAGAGCAGGUGAGGGAGUCCCGCACUAGGGGGUGUCCGGAUAGCCAAACUAUCAUCAUCGGCCGGACUCCAAGACUAUGAAGAUACAAGAUUGAAGACUUCGUCUCGUGUCCGGAUGGGACUUUCCUUGGCGUGGAAGACAAGCUUGGCGAUACGGAUAUGUAGAUCUCCUACCAUUGUAACCGACUCUGUGUAACCAUAGCCCUCUCCGGUGUCUAUAUAAACCGGAUGGCUUUAGUCCAUAGGACGAACAACAAUCAUACCAUAGGCUAGCUUCUAGGGUUUAGCCUCCUUGAUCUCGUGGUAGAUCUACUCUUGUAAUACCCACAUCAUCAAUAUCAAUCAAGCAGGACGUAGGGUUUUACCUCCAUCAAGAGGGCCCGAACCUGGGUAAAACAUCUUGUCCCUUGUCUCUUGUUACCAUCCGCCUAGACGCACAGUUCGGGACCCCUACCCGAGAUCCGCCGGUUUUGACACCGACAUUGGUGCUUUCAUUGAGAGUUCCUCUGUGUCGUCACCAAUAGGCUCGAUGGUUUCUUCGAUCAUCAACAACGACGCAGUCCAGGGUGAGACUUUUCUCUCCGGACAGAUUUUCGUAUUCGGCGGCUUUGCACUGCGGGCCAAUUCGCUUGGCCAUUUGGAACAGAUCGAAAGCUACGCCCCUGGCCGUCAGGUCAGAUUUGGAAGUUUGAACUUCACGGCGGACGUCCGCGGAGACUUGAUCUUCGAUGGAUUCGAGCCACACCCGAGCGCGCUGCACUGUCACGAUGGGCAUGAUUUAGCUCUGCAGCCGGACAGUGCCCUGGAGGCCGCACACGAGCCCACUCCGGCCCUCGAUUCGGAGCCGGCUGCGCAGAUCGAGGACGGGUGGCUAGACACCGCCCCGGGGGCUGCAACCUCUACGGCGAUGGAGCCGAGUACUAACCUUGUCCCUCGUGAAGCUCGUGACUCCGAGGUGCCGGACUCCUCGCCGGACUCCGAACCUCCCGCGCCCCCUCCAAUUGAAUCCGAUUGGGCGUCGAUCAUGGAGUUCACCGCUACGGACAUCUUUCAACACUCACCUUUCGGCGACAUCUUGAGUUCGCUAAAGUAUCUCUCGUUAUCAGGAGAGCCCUGGCCAGACUGCGGUCAGGACGGUUGGGAUGCGGACGACGAAGAAAUUCAAAGCCCACCCACCACCCACUUAGUAGCCACUAUCGACGAUCUAACCGACAUGCUAGACUUCGACUCCGAAGACAUCAACAUUAUGGACGACGAUGCCGGAGACGACCAAGAACCAGCGCCUACUGGGCACUGGAAAGCCACCUCAUCAUAUGACAUAUACACGAUGGAUAUCCCAAAGGAUGGGAAUGGCGGAGGAACAGCAGAGGAUGACCCCUCCAAGAAACAGCCCAAGCGCCAGCGUUAGCGGCGCCGCUCUAAAUCCCGCCACAGCAAGAAUGGAGAUUCCGACACCGGAGAUAAUAACACCCCAGACAGUGCCAAAGACAACCCCCUCCAGCAAGAUUCAGCACAGGAGGACAGAGACGCCAGCCCUCAUGAGAGAGCGGCAGACAAAGAGGUAGAGGAUGAUAAUUACAUGCCUCCCUCCGGAGACGAGGCAAGCCUCGAUGACGACGAAUUUGUCGUGCCUAAGGAUCCCGUCGAACAAGAGCGUUUUAAACGCAGGCUUAUGGCCACGGCAAACAACCUCAAGAAAAAGCAGCAACAGCUUAGAGCUGAUCAAGAUCUGCUAGCCGACAGAUGGACUGAAGUCCUUGCGGCCGAAGAGCAUGAGCUCGAACGUCCCUCCAAAAGCUACCCCAAACGCAAGCUGCUCCCCCGAUUAGAGGAGGAGGCAUAUAAACCCGCAUCACCAGAGCACGAUACGGCUGACCGGCCACCCCGUGGCCGCGACAGAGAGGCCUCUAGGCCCUCCACUAGAACCGUACCCCGGCAUCACUCGAAAAGCACAAGACCACAAGGGAACGCUCUGGACUUGCAAGAUAUAUUGGAGGAUAAGGCAAGACAAUCAAGAUCGAUCUACGGAUCGCGUGGGCGCCCCAUGAUACGUGAUGACAACCGUCACGCCAGACACAGCAAGUCCGGCCGGGCCGAACACAGUAGACAAAGCUCUUUUGAGCUUCGUCGCGAUAUAGCCCAAUACAGAGGGCCGCACACCCACUAUGCUUUACAGAUGAAGUAAUGGAUCAUCAAAUCCCUGAAGGGUUUAAACCCGUGAAUAUUGAAUCUUAUGAUGGCACAACAGAGCCCGCGGUUUGGAUCGAAGACUAUCUCCUUCAUAUCCACAUGGCCCGCAGUGAUGAUCUUCACGCCAUCAAAUACCUCCCACUCAAGCUUAAAGGACCAGCCCGGCAUUGGCUUAACAGCUUGCCAGCAGAGUCAAUUGGGAGUUGGGAGGACCUGGAAGCCGCAUUCCUUGAUAACUUCCAGGGCACGUAUGUGCGACCACCAAACGCUGACGACCUAAGCCAUAUAAUUCAGCAGCCAGACGAAUCGGCCAGACAAUUCUGGACACGGUUCUUAACUAAGAAAAAUCAAAUCGUCGACUGUCCGGAUGCGGAGGCCCACGCGGCCUUCAAACAUAACAUCCGCGACGAGUGGCUUGCCCGGCACCUGGGACAGGAAAAGCCGAAAUCCAUGGCAGCCCUCACAUCACUCAUGACCCGCUUCUGCGCAGGAGAGGACAGCUGGCUAGCCCGCAGCAACAACCUCAGCAAAAAUUCUGGCAGUCCGGAUAUCAAGGACCGCAAUGGCAGGUCGCGUCGCAAUAAGAACAAAUGCUGCAUUAACAGCGACAAUAGUGAGGAUACGGCAGUCAAUGCCGGAUUCAGAGGCUCUAAACCCAGUCAGCGGAAAAAGCCAUUCAAAAGAACUACUCCGGGUCCGUCCAAUUUGGACCGAAUACUCGAUCGCUCGUGCCAGAUACACGGUACCCCCGAAAAGCCAGCUAACCACACCAACAGGGACUGUUGGGUAUUCAAGCAGGCAGGCAAGCUAAUUGCCGAAAACAACGACAAGGGGCUGCAUAGCGAUGACGAGGAAGAGACCCGACCGCCGAACAAUAGAGGACAGAAGGGUUUCCCCCCACAAGUGCGGACGGUGAACAUGAUAUACGCAACCCACAUACCCAAAAGGGAGCGGAAGCGUGCACUCAGGGAUGUAUACGUGAUGGAGCCAGUCGCCCCGAAACUCAACCCAUGGUCCUCCUGCCCGAUCACUUUUGAUCGAAGGGACCACCCCACCAGCAUCCGCCAUGGCGGAUUCGCCGAAUUGGUUUUAGACCCAAUCGUCGAUGGAUUUCACCUCACCAGAGUCCUGAUGGACGGCGGCAGCAGCCUGAACCUGCUUUAUCAGGAUACAGUGUGCAAAAUGGGCAUAGACCCCUCAAGUAUUAAACCUACAAAGACAACCUUUAAAGGCGUCAUACCAAGUGUAGAGGCCAAUUGUACAGGCUCAGUUACACUGGAAGUGGUCUUCGGAUCCCCGAAUAACUUCCGAAGUGAGGAGUUAAUCUUCAACAUAGUUCUGUUCCGCAGCGGCUAUCAUGCUCUGCUCGGACAUACCUGGUUUGCAAAGUUCAACGCGGUGCCGCACUACGCAUACCUCAAGCUCAAGAUGCCAGGCCCUCGAGGAGUCAUCACGGUCAACGGAAACACUGAACGCUCUCUCCGAACGGAGGAACAUACAGCGGCUCUCGCGGCAGAAGUACAGUGUAGCCUCUUAAGGCAAUUUUCGAGUCCGGCCGUUAAGCGACCGGACACGGCUAAACGCGCCCGGAAUAACCUACAACAAGACCACCUGGCACGUUCCAAGCACGCGUAGCAAUGCGGCCCCAACCCCAGCCCCUGCAAAAUUGUAAGACUGGUCCUUCGCGUACAUCAUUAUGCUCUGGAGAUACCAUGGGCAUAGGGGGAGGGGCACGACCACGAUAAGCCCAGAAUGCGGCUUAACCACACCAGGGGCUCUCAAGUGUGUCGUUCUUUUUUUUCUUUUUCUUUUUUUACCCACAGGACUCCGUUCAUCAGAGGCCCUGUCCGGCAGUAGACCUGCCGAACUCACGAUGCAACAGCCAGGGAAGGAGAAAGGCUACGACGAAUAUCCAGGUGGUCUCCAUUACGAGCAUUAAAUCUGUUUUAUACACCAUUCCGCAGCCUACCCCUGGAGGGGGACAUGUUUAAUAGUCCCAUCCCUUGCUUAUCGCACUAUUUGUAUCGUUCUGCAUCCACAGCAAUAUUACUUGAAUAAACAAUGCAGCACCUUUUUGCUUAUAAUUGCAUUUCUUUCUUAUACAUAUGUUCAUUUAUGACAUGUUGCAUCCGUACACUUUGGUACGCCUAAAUACACCAGGGGUUUAUGUUUCCCACAUCAUGGUGUGAUAAGUCCGAACACUUUCACAAGUGCGGCACCCCGAACUUAUAGCAUUAUAUGCAUCGGCUCUGAAUCAUGUCUUGGGUCAAUAGUUGGGUUUGCCUGGAUCCCAUGUUUUGGUACCUUACGUUCCAUUAUAUCGGCUAAGGUAGCACUGGGAGAACCACUGCGAUUGCGCCCCAGUUGAGCUGGGCGAGCGCCUCAGUGGAGAAAGCUAAAACUGACCGUCAUGAUGAGGCGAGAGCCGGUCGCUGUUCGAGAGGGUUUUUUUUGAGUCCCUAAAGACUUAUGCCGCUUAGAGCGAGGAACCGGCGUUGUCCGGCCCAGGCAUGGAUAGCGCCCCAAAUUCGGCCUUCCGAACACUAGGGGCUUCGCAGAAAUUUAAAAUUAUAGAAUUCUAUGGCUAAGUGAGAGUGUUCAAGCAUUAUAAGUCCGGUUGCCUUGUUCGUUGUGUUGAGCGCCUCCCUAGAUGGACCCAAAUAUGGGAACAAGAGUGCUCAAAUUUAUCCCGAACACCCCAGCACUCGUGGCAUGGGGGCUGAAGCCGCCGACUUGCCAUCUCUCAGAUUUGAUAAAUGGCCGCACAAAAGGUAAUAUUUUAAAUUAACAAGCGUUGUUUAGCGCAUAUGAACAAAGUUUUCAGCGCACAGGAUAACAAAAUGCGAGUCUACUCAAAUAUUACAUCUUUGGAGCACUCACCCAUAAUAAUGCGGGCACCCUUUAGGACACUCUUAUAAUACAUCUCGGACGUGCGAUACCCCUUGCCCGGCGGUGGCGCGUCCGUCACAAGCUUCUCAGCAUCCAUCUUGCCCCAUUGCACCUUUGAGCGGGCAAGGGCCCAACGGGCACCUUCAAUACAGGCAGAGUGCUUGAUGACUUCAACCCAUGGACACGCAUCCACCAGCCGCCGCACCAGGCCGAAGUAGCUCCCAGGCAUGGCCUCCUUAGGCCACAGGCGAACUAUGAGGCCCUUCAUGGCCUGUUCGGCCACCUUGUGGAGCUCGACCAACUGCUUCAGCUGGUCGCUAAGGGGUACCGGAUGUCCGGCCUCAGCAUACUGAGACCAGAAGACCUUCUCCGUCGAGCUCCCCUCCUCUGCCCUAUAGAAAGCGGCAGCAUCGGACACGCUGCGGGGCAGAUCUGCAAACGCUCCUGGAGAGCUCCGAAUUCGGGUAAGUGAUAGGUAAUUCACAUUAACAUGCUUACUUUGCAUGAAAAAUGCCUUACCCGCCGCUAUUUUCUUCAACGCCUCGAUUUCCUGGAGGGCCUUGUAGGCUUCGGCCUUAGCGGCUUUGGCACUCUCAAGAGCCGAUGCAAGCUCGGACUCUCAAGUCUUCGAGUCGCGCUCCAAACUCUCAUGUUUUUCCGCGAGAGCCUGGAGCUCUUGAUCUACCUCCGCCACCCGCGCCUCCUGCUUCUCUCGCUCGGUGCGCUCCGCGGCCGCAUUACGUUCGGCCGCAGACACCGCCUCCUUCAGGGUCGCCACCUCGUUCGUGGCCCCUGCAAUACCCACGUUAUCCUUGUCAUUUUUCUUGCAACCAAAUCCUUUUCUGUAAGGUACAAUUUUAACAAGGUGUUACUCACCUUCCUUGUCCCCGAGCUGCUUCUUGGCACGGCCGAGCUCGUUCUCGGACCACUCGAGGCUUUGCUUCAAAGUAUCAACCUCCGCAGUCAGUGCGGCAGAGGUCAGCAGCACAGCCUGCAAUCCCAUAUUGACAUAUUUUUUAUGACUCCUGCGUAUAUCUUUUUAGAUCCUUAGUCCGGCUUUUCUUUCCGAACACCGAACCGAGCAUCAGGGGCUACUGUCUAUGCGGUACUAUUUUACAAAUAUCAAAAUUCUUACCUCAAAGCCUGUUAGAAGGCUGCUGCAGGCUUCAGUCAGCCCGCUCUUGGUGAGCUGAACCUUCUGAAUCACCGCACCCAUGAAGGUGCGGUGUUCCUCUUUGAUGGAAGCGCCAUUGAGCGCCUCCAGCAAGCUAUCCGGCGCCUUCGGUUGGACGGAGGCCGCCCGCGUCACGGUCUUGCCCUUCUUACGAAGGGGCCGCCCGCCGGACUCCGGAGCCACUAUAGGUUCCGGUGCGGAGUCCGGUGCAAAGUCCGGGAGGUUGCCCUGCGGCACCUUCGGGGCCUCCUCCUCCUAGCGGGUCCCUUCCCGGGAUCCCACCUCGGCAUCAUCCGCAUCACGAGGGGAGGAGGCGGUUGGACGGGAAUCCAUAUCCGACGCACCCAAGGACCCGCUCGACGAAGCGGGAAGAUCAUCCUUGGGUGGACUGCAGGGUUGUAUGCGGCAUUAGAAAGACACCAUGUGGCGAAAAGAAAAAUCAUGAAGUUAUUCGAGAGUCCGGAUACUUACGAUUUCGCCAGGGGCUUGGCCCUUGGAGGCCAGUCCUCGUCGUCGUCGCCGGCGUUGGCAGAGCGGUCCGGGGGAAGAGUCCUUCCCUUCUUGGACCCUUCGGCCUCCCUCGUUGGGGAGGCCUUCCUUUUCUUCCCUCCCCCCGCUGGGGGAGAGGCCUCUUUCUUCUCCUCCUCGCCUUCGUGGGAGGAGUCCGCCUUGGUGUCAUCAUCCGAUGACACCUGAAAACAGGAACUCUUUCGAGUGCCCGUGGCCUUCUUCUUGGCCUUCUUCUCCGGCACCACAUGGGGUGCCGGAGCCAGCAACCCCGUUAAACGGGCGUCCGCUGGGUCUUCUGGCAAAAGGGCCGGACAGAUAGUCUUCUCGGCCUUCUUCAGCCAGUCCUGUCAAAGGAGAGGGAGUUUAGAUCCCGCAUAGAGUCAAACUAUGGAAAACAAGUGUCCCGUAAAGGGCAAAAUCGCUUACCUCGCUAGUCGGACGCUGCGAGCUGAAUCCGCGAUCUUCGGUAGCGGAUGCGGGAGCCUCGACGCCCUUAAACAGCACCCUCCAGGCCUCUUCGUACGUAGUGUCGAAGAGCCCGUUCAAAGUCUGGUGCUGCGCCGGAUCAAACUCCCACAUAUUGAAGUCCCGUUGUUGGCACGGGAGAAUCCGGCCGAUGAGCAUGACCUGGACUACGUUGACAAGCUUGAGCUUCUUUUUCACUAGCUUUUGGAUGCAGGCUUGAAGUCCGGUCAGCUCCUCCGAAUCACCCCAUGUCCGGCCACUCUCUUUCCAGGAGGUCGGGGAUGCCAGAUCUGAAUUCGGGGGCCGCUGCCCAUUCAGAGUCACGCGGCUCGGCGAUGUAGAACCACCCCGAUUGCCACCCCUUAAUGGUUUCCAUGAAGGUGCCCUCGAGCCAAGUAACGUUGGGCAUCUUGCCCACCAUGGCGCCUCCGCACUCCGCUUGGCUGCCCUUCACAACCUUCGUCUUGACACUGAAGGUCUUGAGCCACAAGCCGAAGUGGGGCUGGAUGCAGAGGAAGGCCUCGCACACGACGAUAAACGCCGAGAUGUUGAGGAUGAAAUUCGGGGCCAGAUCAUGGAAAUCCAGGCCGUAGUAGAACAUGAGCCCCCGGAAAAAGGGAUGGAGUGGGAAGCCCAGUCCGCGGAGGAAAUGGAAAGGAAUACUACCCUCUCAUGGGGCCUGGGGGUGGGGAUGAGCUCCCCCUCGUCGAGGAGCCGGUGCGCGAUGUCGCUGGACAGAUAUCCGGCGCUGCGCAGCUUCUGGAUGUGCCCCUCCAUAACGGAGGAGGCCAUCCACUUGCCUCCCACUCCGGACAUAGUUGGAGAAGGUUGAGGUGAGAUGUGCGGACUUGGGCGCUAGAGCUCGAGUUCGCGUAGAUGGAUAAGCAAAGGAGGAAGAAGGCGUAGGUAAAAGGGUGGAUCUUUAUCCCCUUAUAUGGGCGGACGAAACCAUGCGUCCCCACCAGCCUGAUAAAACUCGCUUAUCUCCCAAGCACCGCAAUCAAUGGCGCGGUUGGGUUACCCAUGUCCGUAUUGAUGGGCAUCCCGGAAUAAGGGGAACACGAUCUCUGCUUCGACAAGACGUGCCAAGGAAACCGCUUCGCUAAACGCGUGGAGGUGGUAUAAUAAAAACGAUUCGAGUAAAGGCUUGGUUGUGGUGUGACGUCACGCCACAAAAUAUGUCAGCAGAUUGAACUUGUUUAAAUAUUAUUCUCUCUACGGUGGUAUGUGGAAUUUAUUUGGCAGAGCCGGACACUAUCCUGGUGUUCACAAUCUUCUAUAAAUUAUUCGGAGGAGUAACCCGCCUUGCAAUGUCGAAGACAAUAUGCGCGCCGGACUUGUCGUCAUUGAAGCCUGGUUCAGGGGCUACUGAGGGAGUCCCGGACUAGGGGGUGUCCGGAUAGCCGAACUAUCAUCAUCGGCCGGACUCUAAGACUAUGAAGAUACAAGAUUGAAGACUUCGUCCCGUGUCCGGAUGGGACUUUCCUUGGCGUGGAAGACAAGCUUGGCGAUACGGAUAUGUAAAUCUCCUACCAUUAUAACUGACUUUAUGUAACCCUAGCCCUCUUCGGUGUCUAUAUAAACCGGAUGGCUUAGUCCAUAGGACGAACAACAAUCAUACCAUAGGCUAGCUUCUAGGGUUUAGCCUCCUUGAUCUCGUGGUAGAUCUACUCUUGUAAUACUCACAUCAUCAAUAUCAAUCAAGCAGGACGUAGGGUUUUACCUCCAUCAAGAGGGCCCGAACCUGGGUAAAACAACGUGUCCCUUGUCUCCUGUUACCAUCCGCCUAGACGCACAGUUCGGGACCCCCUACCCGAGAUCCGCCGGUUUUGACACCGACAGCAGGCUUACAUUCCAAUCCGGCGCGCGCCGCUCAGUCGCUGACGUCACGAAGGCUUUGGCUGAUACCACGAUGUCGAGUGCCCAUAUCUUUCCCGCGUAGUUGGUUAGUGCGUAUAGGCCAGUGGCCAGACUCAGAUCAAAUACCAAGAUCUCGUUAAGCAUGUUCUUAUGAAGCAACCGCGGACGCCGACCAGGGCCAGGCCCACCUCUCACCUAGGUGGUCUCAACCUGCCCUGUCGCUCCGCCACAAAGUAACAGUCGGGGGUCGUCGGGAACCCAGGCCCACCUCUACCGGGAUGGAGCCACCUGUCCUUCCAGCCCCCACAUCGGAAUCACUUGCGGGUACUCCACGAGCAGACCCGACUUUAGUCACCAUCUCUAUAGUAUGUAUGUAUGUAUAAUAUAUACCCGUGAUCACCUCCCAAGUGAUCACGGCCCGAUAGUAUAGCAAGGAAGACUGACAAGAAUGUAGGGCCAAUGAUGAUAAACUAGCAUCCUAUACUAAGCAUUUAGGAUUGCGGGUAAGGUAUCAACAGAUGUAGCAACAAUGACAGGCUAUGCAACAGAAUAGGAUUAAUCGAAACAAUAACAUGCUACACUACUCUAAUGCAAGCAGUAGAGGGUAGAAUAGGCGAUAUCUGGUGAUCAAGGAGGGAGGCUUGCCUGGUUGCUCUGGCAAGAAGGACGAGUCGCCAACACCGUGGUCGAACUGGGGGUCGCCGACAGUCUCGGGGUCUAUCGGAAAGAAGUAACAGAGAGGGAUCGAACUGGGGGUCGCCGACAGUCUCGGGGUCUAUCGGAAAGAAGUAACAGAGAGGGAACACAAUAAUAACAGAGCAAUCAAAGCAUCACAAAGCGUAACAAUACAAUACGCGGUGUUCGGUGUGCCCUAACGCAGUAGUACGUGAUACCGGUGAAGGGGAGAAACAUCCGAGAAAGUAUCCCCGGUGUUUCGCGUUUUCGGGCAGGUGAUCCGGAAGGGGAAAGUUGCGUGUUCGAUAUGUUAGGGACGUGUGACGGACGAACGGGGUGCGUAUCCGGAUUCGUCUCGUCGUUCUGAGCAACUUUCAUGUGCAAAGUAUUUCCAUCCGAGUUACGGAUUAUUUUAUAUUCAUUUUCAAAGUUUAUUGCAUUUUCUAGAAUUAAUUUAAUUUGAAAAUAGAACAGAUUAUAAUUUUGUCACCUAGUGCUAUUAUAGCCAUAGUGUAUGACAGGUGGGGACAGUGGGGUUGGGUUGACCCGGUCAAAUGUUGACUGGUCAACAUAUGAAUAGUGUAAGUGGGUCCCACAUGUAAUAGGCUUAGACUAAUUAAUUAACCAACCAAUCUAAACUAAAUUAGUUUAGACCUAAUUAAACUAGGCCCGCCACACACUGCUGUGGCACAGCCCACGCGCACACAGCGCACAAACACAACGCUAGGGAGUAACUCUAUUUCUUUUAACACAAGAUAGCAUUUUGUGAUGUUUGUAGGAUUUAAUCCAUGCAUUAUCUGAAGUAGGUCCAAUGAAACAAAAUGAGGCUUGUUAUGUCUACUUUCCGUUCAUAUAAUUUGUAUCCAUGUUAGAACUUGUCUUAGCGCUGUUUAGUGGCAGUUAAGAAGGCUAGUCAUUGUAGAAAUACAAAAGCUAGCUACUGCUACAGUAACUGAAUGUUACUGUAGCCGUGUAGGAUAGCAGCAGAAGCGGCUGCGGGAGCAGCAAAGCUGCAGCAAAGCAAGUGGCAUGCACACGGCCGCGCAUGCUGGGCGCAGGGAGGGACGGACGCGAGGCGUGGGCGGCCGCGGCGCAAGCAGUGGCACAGGUUGAGCGCGGCCACGGCUCCGGCAGUGACCAGAGCAGACUGCAGCAACGCAGCGGCAGUACAAAGCAGCCAAGCAGCAGAGUAGCGCAAGGAGCAGCUGCAGGCAGGGACGAAGCUAGAAAAAAUGGGCACCGGUGUCAAUGUUGCUCACAAUAGCACCGAUAUUAGCAGUGCAAUAUGGAUAACAUUUCAGGGCAAUAUAAAGAGUGAAAAUAUGCAAUGAGCCAAUGAUAUAAACUUUAUUAUAUUAAAAUGAUUUUCAUACCCGAGUACUUGUUGGGCAAAUUCAAAAAAACAGUAAUCAGUUGUUCGCAUAUUCAGUAAAAAUAAGAAAAAAAAUAAAAUGUAAGUUGGGAGUAUUUAAUUUCUAACUUAGUGAAAACAAUAAAUAAAAGAAAUAAAUUAUUUUUACAACAAUGUACGGAACAAAUGAUACAUAAAAUAAAUAAGAUUAAGCAAAAAUAUAAAAUGAUGUGAGACUCACAUGUUAUAACUUCCUUCUCGACCUUUAAUCUUCUGUAUUCCAUAAAUCAGUCAUGGAAUCAUUCGUAGUGAUAGUAAAUAUAUAAUUAUCCACAUAGCAACUCAGGGGUAUCACUCAUGAACUGGUCACCCAUUUUGUUAUGCAAAACACUCUUGACAAUAUUCAUUUCUGAAAAGCAUCUCCUCAUCGAUUUUGGCAACUGUCAAAAUUAGCACCAUUUUUAGAAGUUGAUAUACCAAAGGAAAAGCAAGAUGUUUCUUAGUGUUAGUUAAUACUUUGACAAGAUCUGCAAUGUGAUCCAAAUUGGCAAAUCCUUGGUCUGUUUGGAGAUUGCCAAUUUACAUUCGAAGUUCAUGAUCAAGAUCCAUCAAUUACGUUGGAUAAAAGUCAUCAGGAUAAAACUCAGCUAGUUUGCAUAAAUACUCAAAGUUAAAAGAAACAAAAGAUAUUUGAAGUCUGCAUUGUCUGCAAGGUCCUGUAAUUAAUUAUCUCGGUUUGAUCUCUAAUUAAAUAUCAGUGUCUCCUGUCCGCUUCAAUAGAAAUCUAUCUAUAAUCUUCUAGUCCUAAUUGAAUCAAGGAGAUAAAUUAAAAUUUUCAAUCUUAGUAUUGCACACAUGUAUCAGCGCCUCGGGUACCUGGGAUGAACCGAAGUGGAGAAUCAAUAAUCGCAGGACUACAGAUUAGGGUGACGCGGCCGGCGGGUGGACAUCCCCGAACCAAAAUUAGCGCCG